This 1109-nucleotide ribosomal RNA is filed under the name Clostridioides difficile. RNAcentral describes it as "partial 23S ribosomal RNA". It matches the Rfam family "Bacterial large subunit ribosomal RNA", at positions 1582 to 2703 of the family's 2925-position model. The record is from RNAcentral. Lineage: Bacteria; Bacillati; Bacillota; Clostridia; Peptostreptococcales; Peptostreptococcaceae.
GUAGCGAAGUAGCUGAUUUCACACUGUCAAGAAAAGUCUCUAUCGAGGUUAAAGGUACCCGUACCGCAAACCGACACAGGUGGGUGAGGAGAGUAUCCUAAGGCCAGCGAGAGAACUGUUGUUAAGGAACUCGGCAAAAUGACCCCGUAACUUAGGGAUAAGGGGUGCCACCAUCAGGUGGCCGCAGAGAAUAGGCCCAAGCGACUGUUUACCAAAAACAUAGGUUUCUGCUAAGUCGCAAGACGAUGUAUAGGAGCUGACGCCUGCCCGGUGCUGGAAGGUUAAGGGGAUCUGUUAGAGCAAUCGAAGCAGUGAACUUAAGCCCCAGUAAACGGCGGCCGUAACUAUAACGGUCCUAAGGUAGCGAAAUUCCUUGUCGGGUAAGUUCCGACCCGCACGAAAGGCGUAACGAUUUGGGCACUGUCUCAACAACAGACUCGGUGAAAUUGUAAUUCCGGUGAAGAUGCCGGAUACCUGCGACAGGACGGAAAGACCCCAUGGAGCUUUACUGUAGCUUGACAUUGGGUCUUGGUACUACAUGUACAGGAUAGGUGGGAGGCUUUGAAACCAGGACGCCAGUUUUGGCGGAGCCAUCCUUGGGAUACCACCCUUGUAGUACUGGGACUCUAACCAUAGACCAUGAAUCUGGUCUUGGGACACUGUCAGGUGGGCAGUUUGACUGGGGCGGUCGCCUCCCAAAAGGUAACGGAGGCGCUCAAAGGUUCUCUCAGUACGGUCGGAAAUCGUACGUAGAGUGUAAAGGCAAAAGAGAGCUUGAUUGCAAGACAUACAGGUCGAGCAAGGAUGAAAAUCGGACUUAGUGAUCCGGUGGUUCUGCGUGGAAGGGCCAUCGCUCAACGGAUAAAAGCUACCCUGGGGAUAACAGGCUUAUCUCCCCCAAGAGUCCACAUCGACGGGGAGGUUUGGCACCUCGAUGUCGGCUCAUCACAUCCUGGGGCUGUAGUAGGUCCCAAGGGUUGGGCUGUUCGCCCAUUAAAGUGGUACGCGAGCUGGGUUCAGAACGUCGUGAGACAGUUCGGUCCCUAUCCGUCGCAGGCGUAGGAAAUUUGAGAAGACCUGUCCUUAGUACGAGAGGACCGGGAUGGACG